GUGUCGGCUAUACUCUGAGGAAGAUGAUUUAUGGCCUGAAUUUUAAUCUUGGCGUCUGCGUGUGAUUGGCAAGCCCAGGACCGUUCGGGAAACAAACCACUGACUGCAAUUGGCCCCCGACCGCGAUUUCACACUAGCUAGCCAAUUAAUGAAAAACUCAGCGCUGCCGGGGUGGGAGCAGGAAGAAGGUUGGUGAUGACGUCACCGCGGACAUGGAAUUCACAAUCGCUGGACACCUGUAUUCAACGCAUCCUCUCUGCUUUGUUUCCUCCGUUCGACGCCACUGCUCCCACUGUCCUCAGUCAGAUCUUCAGGGUCAUCGACACAAUAUACAAGGGAGAUGGGCUUUGCUGUUUACUGGAUUUCCUAAUUCCAGCAAAACGUAUCCUGGAGACUGUACAACAAGAGGCUUGUGCGAGAUAUUCAAGCCUCCUGUUCCGCCACGAAGGCUGGCCUUUGUGUCUCCACGAGAAGAUAGUGAUACAAUUGUCAUCAUUCAACAUCUUUCUUCUGCGACCUGGUGAUUUCUAUCUGCAAAUUCUACCUGUUGGAAGGCAGUCUACAAGAAUUGUACUGAAAUGCCUGGGCAAAGACCUCUGCAGUGUGGAAGAAAAGCUUGUACCAGAAGUCUCCUACACCAAUAUUUUUACAGCAGAAUGGUUGGGAAUGAUAAACCGUGAUCGUUCUGGCACACCAUUGCACACUUGCUUGUUAGCCACAGAGAAUGGGGUUGUGAAAGUGCUUUGGACUAAAAUAGUAAACCCCGAAUUUGUAACUAAAGUCAAAGUAGCACCAGCAUCUGGACUCAAAACUUGUUCCACUCAGGAAACGCAAAAUGACUAUGGUUCUGGUAGGAUGACAUUACAGACUGGUAUGGAGACUAAUUGUUUAUUUAAGGCUUCCGAGCCAGACUCUGAUGCUAAAGAUGAUAAAAAUAUGUCACCUAAAUUGACUCGGAUAGAAGGCGCAAAAUGUCUGAGCCACCAGCCUGUGAUAUUGGGAAUGGUCUCCCCAAAUUUAUGUGAACUCUCCAAUGAAAAUGUCGAAGGGGAUUACGUAGAUUUAAUGAUGUUUUCUAAAGAAAAAUGUUCUGAUAAGAGGACUGCACGUCCUCCAUCUAAGUAUAGAGAAUCUUCAGUUGUUCCAAUGAAUGGCACAUGGGCAUGUGGAGGGUCAAUAAGAUUUGCUGCAGAACCUUGCACACCAUGUUUAAAUAGAAGGUCAAACAGAGAUUUAGAACACAAAGAGAUGAAAUGUCGCUAUCGUGAAUCUUACAUAGAAGCUCUGCAAAACCCUUUGAACUUUGGAUUCAGUUUUCAGGAGACAGAGCCUUCUGAAAAGAACAAGGAAGAAGUCUUGACUAACUACAAGCUUAACAGUGGUUCAAAAAAUCCAGCCUGCUGCCAGCAGAACCUGGAAUCUAAGAAAUCCAGUAGGCCUAAAACUCCAUCACCAUCUAAUUCAACAAAUGAGGACAGAUUAUUGGGACAUCCCAUUCCACAUCGUGCCUCAUUCAAGGAACCAUAUCGAUCUACAGUCAAACAUGAUCCUCAUAUAUCGUCACCAUCUUCAGACAUUACCAAUAGACAUUCACUUCCUGAUGUUCAAAGGUCAUGUUUGCCAACUGGUGACACUGUGUUCUCAGAAAUUGUGACCAGCAGGAAAGCUGUGCAAGUUACAAAAAAGUGUUCAGUUGGUUAUAUAUCUCCAAGAAUCCGCAGACAUAAAUCCCAGGGAAAAGAUUUCAGUACAGAGGUCAAGAUGCAAUCAGAUGCUCCCCCCUCAUUGAGUCAAAGAGCUGAUAUAAUCUUACCAUCUCCUGGUUCACAUUUACCAAUCAGUGACCUCUCCAUAUCAGAACAUCACCAGAAGAGGUUUGCUGCACGGUUGCUAGAUCUCAACAGUGAUCUGCUACAUUCAGGAGCCGCUUGUUUACCAGGAAGCAGGGAUAAGGCAGGGAGAGCUGUGUUACAAGUCUGCAGUGAUAACAAGUUUUUGCAGAGUCAAACCUGCACCAGUGAUGACCUUGCCAGACUUCUCCUGUACUUGUACAACAUCCCGAGGAAGGAAGUUCGGGAUCUGGGAUUAACAAUCAUUGUAGAUGCCAGGAGACGGCCACCUCAUGUUGCAUUAUUUAAAGCUUUUGGAUCUCUUCAGGAAUUUGCUCCCCACUCUAUUCAUUGUGUCCUGAUAUUGACAGAAAAGGAGACAACUCUCAAACUGGAGAAAUAUCCAGGAGUACCUAUUGAAGUUUUGACUUCCUUGAAAGCCCUGCAUAAGUUCAUUGACAGCAACCAGCUAACUGAGCAUCAGGAGGGGACAUUUCCUUACAAUCACUCUGAGUGGAUACAAUUCCGUGCGAAACUCGAGUUGUUUGUCACAAACUGCAGAGAAGCUUCCACUUUGUUGCUGGACACCAUUAGAACAUUUGAGUCUAACAAACCUGGUAUCAGUGCACAGGAAGUUAUUGAUUGCAUCAGUAAGCACAAGACAAUGAUGAAGCAUGUUCUGCAAGAUGCCCGAUUGGUUACUUUACAGUUGGAAGGUGGAGCAAUUCUUGCCAGGCUCAAGAAAGAGGAAUCGAGAUUCAGUUUCUCUGAGGAUUACAGGGACACCAUUGAUUCAAUAACGCCUCUCUACAAUAUAGUGGAGGAGAAUGUCCAUACUCUAGUAAUGAGGUCCAACCAGUGUCUGCAGCACCUAGAGUUCUUGCUGGAUUUGAGGAGACUGGAGGACAAAUUCAAACAGCAAAACAAUUGGCUUCUUUGUGAAGGUGAAUCAUAUUUGCAGGAUUUAGUUACAAAUGGAGAGUCACUCAAUACCAUGCAACAAACACAGCAUAAUUUCUCUGGAUUCUUUAUGUUGGCCACACAGGAAUAUAAAAAGGGCUUGGAGCUGUUGAAAGAAGCAGACCUACUGGAUGGUUUUUCAUAUCCUGAGUUUUCAGUGUUCAAAGAUAUGGUGGAAAAUUUCAAACUACGACUGAACAACUUUCACAUUAGAGCUAAGAGGCGUCAAGUAGAAUUGGAGGCUCUAGUUAACUUAUACACCUACUGUGAUAAGGCCACAAAGUUUGCAGAGGAAUGUAAAUAUUACUUGAACCAGUCGGGAAUGUGCAAUGAAGCAAUGUUGGAACAUCUUGAGAGUUAUCAUCAGAAGUUUACAGAGUUCUCUGUUGAAAAAUUUCAGCAAAUGAAGAGCCAGGUUCAUAGCCUAAACAGUACUAAAGGGAUGAAGAUGUGGAAUGUCACCUGGUUGAAGUGUCAGGAGGUCAGGCAACUCCUUGAGGAAAAACUGGAAUUUUGUAGGAAGACCCUAAAAGCCGAUAGAACUCCUUCGUUGGACAUUAAUGGAGAGUCAAAGGGUACUGGUCAGAAGUGUAAUAAGGAUAUAAUCACAAGUUGCUCUCAUGUGUCUGGGAGCUCAAGGCCAGAAAACUAUGCAAUCUGGCAGAGAAAGGAAAAUUGUAAGCCUUUGUCUGCCAGGAACAUUCAGAGCCAUAAAGAAAGUACAACAAAUAAACCAAACAGAGAACCAGCGAACUCUUCAAUGUUUAACUGGCCCCUGUGGCUGCACUCAAGUGAAGUUUCCAGUGAUGAGAACAGAUCACAGAUCUGUUCUCUUCCUUCUUAUUCAGAUCCUGUCUUCUCUCCUCCUAUUCGGCACAAAGGUUACCCUUCAAAGAAGAUCAUGCAGGCAGCACAGGGUUUCCAAUUGUCACGGCAUGCAAGCUUCUACUCCGAAGACAAAGGUCCAAAGAAUACGACAACUAAUAGAAAUAGCAGCGGUGCUACUCCAGUUAUGAGUCCUGUCCUAAGUAGAAUUCCAGGACCAAGUUUGAAACAUGGAACAAUACAGGAAUUGAAAAAGGAAAUAAAAACAACUUCCUAUAAUAAGCUGCAGCAUAUUAUGGAAGAGAUAUUAAUCACUGAGAGAGAGUAUGUCCGCUCCCUUGGUUAUAUUGUUGAACACUACUUCCCUGAGAUGGAGCGCCUGGAUCUCCCCCAGGAUCUGCGGGGACAGCGAGGGGCUAUCUUCGGAAACCUGGAGAAGCUGUAUGAUUUCCACAGCCAUUACUUCCUGAAGGAGUUGGAGAGCUGUGCAAGGGAGCCCAUCAGAGUAGGACGCUGCUUCAUCAGACAUGAGGACCAGUUUGGACUUUAUGCGUUGUACAGCAAGAACAAACCGCGAUCAGAUUUCCUACUCAGCAGCCAUGGGAUCAGCUUCUUCAGAGCCAAACAACUGGAAUUAGGCGACAAGCUGGACCUGGCAUCCUACCUAUUGAAACCUAUUCAGAGAAUCAGCAAAUACAACUUACUCCUGAGAGAUAUGUUCAAAGAGUGCAGCACAGCCCAGGAGAAGGAGUGCAAGGAGCUCCAGGCAGCCCAUGAGAUUGUAUGUUUCCAGCUCCGCCAUGGAAAUGAUUUACUUGCUAUGGAUGAUAUACAGGAGUGCGAUGUGAACCUAAAGGAGCAGGGCCAGUUAUUACGUCAAGAUGAAUUUGUUGUAUGGUGUGGACGAAAGAAGUGGUACAGACACAUCUUCCUCUUUGAUGAUCUCAUACUCUUCAGCAAGACCAGAAAGACAGAAGGAAGCAAUGACAUCUACAUUUACAAACAAUCCUUUAAGACUUCUGAAAUUGGACUGACACAUAACUCUGGUGAAAGUGGGCUGUGUUUUGAAAUUUGGUUCAGAAGACAGAAGUCCCGGGAUACUUAUGUCUUUCAUGCUCCAACUCCAGAGAUAAAACAAGCAUGGAUAGAUGACUUGGACAAGAUAUUAUGGAACCAAGCUGUGAGGAACAGGGAGGACACCAAGAGACCAAAUUCCAUAGGCUCCAAUGGCAGUGCCUCCUCCUCGGGAAGCCAGACUUCCUCAUCAUCUUCUGGCAUUGGUUCCCUCAAUGUGCCCAUUUGCUCCUCUUCACCAUCGACUUCAAGAAGCAAUGCUGGCAUCAACAACUGUCUUUAUAGUACACAAACACGCAUUGAGGAAGAUGACCUGGAGAAUGACCCUAGUGGAAGACCUUUUAUGACUGAGAGUUCGGAAACAUCCUCCCAGUGUAACUCCACAGAAAGUGUUAGCGGUUUCAGCAGCUCUGAACAAAGCAGCCUUUCCCUAACUGGAGGAGAGACAGAGGAAGUGACUACUCUCUGCUCAGCAUCAUACAAGCCCAGUCCAGAUCCAUGCUCACUCUGUGCACCUUCAUUGCUGCCAAAGGAAGAACUACCAUUUGGAAAUUUGAUCAAAAAAGAUAAAUCAUCAGAAGUGCAUAUGAACCGUUCAACAGAUGUCUGAUGCUCUGAAGAACCAAUUUGAUGGUAAACUAUUACGGGCAAUUUUUACCCAACUGAUCAACUGUACUGGCCCCCUCGCACAUACUGCUGAAGAAACACCAUCAUUGGUCCUGGAAGGCUCCACAGGAGGAAGCCUUCAACAGAGUAAAACAACUGCUGCACUCCUCAACCUUGUUAGUGCACUUCAACCCAUCUAAAGAAUUGAUAUUGACCUGCGACGUCUCUCCAUAUGGCAUUGGUGCAGUGUUGUCCUAUGAAAUGGACAACGGCUCUGAGAGGCCAAUAGGUUACAUAUCAAGAUCCCGCUCAGUGGCCAAGAAAGGUUAUUUGCAGAUCAGAAGGAAGGACAGUCAAUAGUAUUUGGAAUUAUAAAAUUCAACCUGUAAGUACAUGGCAGGCACUUUACUAUCAUCUCUGAUCAUAAACCGCUUUUGGGCCUUUUCAAAGAAGACAAGGCUAUCCCACUGAUAGCCUUGGCAAGAAUUCAGUGAUGGGCAUCAAUUCUGUCCACCUAUGAAUACACUUUCAAGCACCGACCUGGGAUAUACAUAGCAAACAUGGACGCUCUUAGCCACCUAUCCUUGCAAGAAAGCAUCUCAUGUACCCCAAGAAAUCAUUCCUGCAUUGAAUUUUUUUAGACACAUCGCCCAUCUGCGCCAAACGGGUCAGGAACUCGACCAAUUGAGAUCCACUCCUGUCCAAAGUGAGAGACUAGAUGUUUACAGGAUGGUUAAAUGAGUCAGUCUCUGAGGAAAUGAAACCAUUUUUUUACCUACAAAUACGAAUUAAGUUGUCAGGAUGGCAUCAUAGCCUGGGGAGCAAGAGUAGCCACUCCUUUACCAGGCAGGAACUGCUCCUAAUCGAAUACACAGCACUCAUCCUGGCAUCUCUAAAUUGACAGUGCUCACCAGGAGUUACUUGUGGUGGCCUGGUAUAAAUGCAGAUAUUGAGAAGUUAGUCAAGCACUGUCAACAGUGCCAACUGCAUCAAAAGUUGCCAGCCGCAGCCCAAAUAUACCCUUGGGAACGGCUUGGCCGGCCAUGGGUGUGGACCCAUAUAGACUACAUGGGUCCAUUCCUAGGCACAAUGUUUUUGAUCAUAAUUGAUGCACACUCAAAAUGGAUGGAGAUUUUUGAGGUGAAAUCACCUAUGUCACAUGCUGACAUCGAAAGGUUACGCCAAUGCUUUCCGAUUCACGGAUUGCCCGAAGUUAUUGUAUCAGACAAUGGAGCCAUAUUUACAAGUGCUGAAUUUCAGAACUUCACCAGUCUAAACAGUAUUAAACACAUCCAAACUGCACCUUACCACUCAACAUCAAACGGACUAGCUGAGAGAGCCAUCCAAACUUUCAAAUCAGGACUAAAAAAUUGUCGGGAGGAACCUUAGAAACCAAAAUCUCAUGCUUCCAUCUUAGCUACCACACAACUCUACAUGCAACAACUGGAGUUCCACCAGCAGAACUGCUUAGGCAUCGUCUCAGAAUGAGACUGACCCUCGUAGUUCCAGAUUUGUCAGGGAGGGUAGAGAAGAACCAAGGUAAUCAGAAAGCAAGCCACAAUUCGCAUGCAGAACCCAGAAAUUUAUAGUAGAUGAAGCCAUAUAUGUAAUAAAUUUCAGUAGCAGUCCAAGUUGGACCCAGGAAUUAUUGUCUGUGAGACCGGACCCCUUUCAUACCAAGUGGAUUUGGAAGGCUGGAUUGUGCGUAAACACUUGGAUCACCUGAGGAGCAGGGAGACAGUUCCACAGUCAGUUUCCAUCAAAGAAUGUUAUCGAACCCAUAAGCACCGCAGUACCUGAUCGACCUGUUAUAGACAUAACUGAUGUCUCCAUUGAAUCAAAUAGCGAUGAACUGCCUGUGCCAAAAGAGGUACCUGUCGCAGUUCCUGUUAGUUCAAUCCUGUAGGAGAGCCUCAGGCUACAGAAUUAUGGCACUCUGCCUGGAACAGAAAAUCCUCUCAACAACUUGAUUUGUAAUUACUGGACCUAUCUAUAUAACUGUAUAAUUUGAAUUCAUGACAAAGUGCAGGCCUAAGAAUCAAUGAAUCACUGGUGAAACAGGCUGGUUGUUGGUAUUCCAACUGCUGCUGAGCUCUGAAAUGUAAUUCCAGUUCAAGUUGCAACAAAUAAUAGAUUUACAGGAGGUUGCUGUGCCAUCUGGGCUUUGUCCUGACAGAUUGUUGUUUUUGCUUGCUGGAAAACAGAUGCUGCUGUAUAGCAGAAUUCUAAAAUAAAAGCCUCUUUACAAAGGUACAUAGAUACAGGUGAUUCUCAGGUGGUUGCGACAUAAGCCUUGGCCAAGAAACUUCCCAAGGUCAUCGUAUCGAAGAGGGAAUAAUUCUCCCUGGACAAACGCUAGGAAUUUUCAGCGCCCUCUUCACAGUACGUGAACCUGUAACAUAGCAUUUCGUCAUGUUUUCCAUCCUCAAUGUCGGCUCCAUGAGGUUCAGAAUCACAAGUCCCAACAAAAGAAGGAAGAUCCAUCAAUUAAAGGAGGGACAUUCAUCCAGGGAAAUUUGAUUUUGGAGAAAAUGGCCCUAAGGACAGGUUUAAAGAGGGAGGGCAUAGUAACAUUUUCAUUUAACUAUUAAAUCAUAUAUAAAUAUAUUUUAAUAUCCAUUAAAAUGAUCAAUUAAUAUUACUUUGUAUAUUGUACUAUUGUCUUCUAUUGCAUACCUGUUCGCUUUAAUCACAACAUUGUUGUAAAAUAUAGACAAGUGUAAGUUAAGUUGUCAGUACUUAUGUUUCCUAUUUUUACAUGUUUACCAUAUUAAAAAGAACCAUGGAUUUUCUUGA
Molecule: RNA transcript, 8090 nt
Organism: Carcharodon carcharias (great white shark)
Lineage: Eukaryota; Metazoa; Chordata; Chondrichthyes; Lamniformes; Lamnidae
Gene name: pleckstrin homology domain-containing family G member 4B-like
Exons: 25
Source: RefSeq, a predicted model, not a curated record